GGGGAUUUAGCUCAGUGGUAGAGCUCUUGCCUAGCGAGCAUAAGGCCCUGGGUUCGGUCCCCAGCUCCA
Rattus norvegicus (Norway rat) is the source of this 69-nucleotide non-coding RNA. The record is from Rfam. NCBI's taxonomy places the organism in Eukaryota, Metazoa, Chordata, Mammalia, Rodentia, Muridae.